AUAGGUUUGGUCCCAGCCUUCCUGUUAACUUUCAAUAGACUUAUACAUGCAAGCAUCCACGCCCCGGUGAGUAAUGCCCUUCGAAUCACACAGGACUAAAAGGAGCAGGUAUCAAGCACACACUCUUGUAGCUCACAACGCCUUGCUUAACCACACCCCCACGGGAGACAGCAGUAACAAAAAUUAAGCCAUAAACGAAAGUUUGACUAAGCCAUAUUGACCAGGGUUGGUAAAUCUCGUGCCAGCCACCCCGGUCAUACGAUUGACCCAAGCUAACAGGAGUACGGCGUAAAGCGUGUUAAAGCAUCAUACUAAAUAGAGUUAAAUUUUAAUUAAACUGUAAAAAGCCAUAAUUAUAACAAAAAUAAAUGACGAAAGUAACCCUACAAUAGCUGAUACACCAUAGCUAAGACCCAAACUGGGAUUAGAUACCCCACUAUGCUUAGCCCUAAACACAAAUAAUUAU
Molecule: ribosomal RNA, 466 nt
Filed under: Ovis aries (sheep)
Lineage: Eukaryota; Metazoa; Chordata; Mammalia; Artiodactyla; Bovidae
Description: partial 12S ribosomal RNA
Source: RNAcentral